Molecule: ribosomal RNA, 484 nt
Filed under: bacterium EI27
Lineage: Bacteria
Description: bacterial SSU rRNA
Rfam family: Bacterial small subunit ribosomal RNA
Source: RNAcentral
GCUUGCUUCUUUGCUGACGAGUGGCGGACGGGUGAGUAAUGUCUGGGAAACUGCCUGAUGGAGGGGGAUAACUACUGGAAACGGUAGCUAAUACCGCAUAACGUCGCAAGACCAAAGAGGGGGACCUUCGGGCCUCUUGCCAUCGGAUGUGCCCAGAUGGGAUUAGCUAGUAGGUGGGGUAACGGCUCACCUAGGCGACGAUCCCUAGCUGGUCUGAGAGGAUGACCAGCCACACUGGAACUGAGACACGGUCCAGACUCCUACGGGAGGCAGCAGUGGGGAAUAUUGCACAAUGGGCGCAAGCCUGAUGCAGCCAUGCCGCGUGUAUGAAGAAGGCCUUCGGGUUGUAAAGUACUUUCAGCGGGGAGGAAGGGAGUAAAGUUAAUACCUUUGCUCAUUGACGUUACCCGCAGAAGAAGCACCGGCUAACUCCGUGCCAGCAGCCGCGGUAAUACGGAGGGUGCUAGCGUUAAUCGGAAUUACU